This 199-nucleotide long non-coding RNA is filed under the name Eucalyptus grandis. RNAcentral describes it as "long non-coding RNA (EGRA_LNC004640)". The record is from RNAcentral. Lineage: Eukaryota; Viridiplantae; Streptophyta; Magnoliopsida; Myrtales; Myrtaceae.
UAGGUCCAGUUCCAGCUCAUGUCCGCCUCCGGACCUCCGGAGAACUCCGGUGUCUUCGCCGCUGCCGCCGCCACCGCCGCCGCCGCCCGACUCUUCUCCCUCCUUGAGUCAACCCGCACCCCCACUUCCACGCCGGAUGCGUCCACCCACGUCGAAAUUACCACUCUACCCAUCCUCAUAUCACCCAAGAUCGCCGCAU